GGCCCGCGGGUGGCCACAAAGAACGCCUGAACCCGCGGCGGCAGCUGCUGCGCUGCCCGCGCGGGUCCUUGAGGCGCGCGGCGGGCGGCUCAGCGCCAGACACAAUAGUGGCGCGUCCCUCAGCGCCGCCCGGCCGCUCCCGCCGCAAAGCGGCUCCGGAACGCCUCUCGGUGCCCUGCGGCGGGCCCGAACCGUGCCACAGCAGCACGGCUGUCACCGAGCCCCAAGAGCCGCAGCUCACUCGCCGGGAACACUUGCUUCAUCUGUCUGUCAGGCUGGGAUUUGUGUCUCCAGAUAUAUCCCUGCGAUCCUCACGUAACGUGUUUGAUUUUAGUCCUGCACGUUUUAGUCACCAAAAGCUGCCACCACUCAGUAAACCUUCUGUGCGGCCAAUUUAUUAUUUCAGUGUUAAUAAAUAAAAUACGCCAUCGGGGUUUCUGUGAGGCAAAGGGAAUUUUGGGAUGAAUGCUCCAGAUGCUUCGUGGGGCACAGCUGGAAAAUGAAAUGCCGCUGCCUUCAUAAGGCUGGGAGCUAAAUGGGAAAGGAUUUGGUAUUGAGUUGUCCUGGAAUUAAUGGGUGCAAGACUCUGGGAAUAGGAAUUCCUGAAAAUCCAGUUCACUGCAUUUGCACAUGGACAUUGAAAAUUUUGGUUAUAAUAUGCAAUUUAAGACUGUAUGUACUGCUAUUUUUUUAAAGUGUUGGGUAUUUUUCUUUGAUCUCUUUAUUCGUGGAUCCACACAAUCAAUGACAUUGAAAAGAAGGAAAAAGCCUAGUCUUGAACACCUGGCCCAACCUCAUGGGAGAUGUCUCAUGGCCCUUCCUCACCAAAUCCUUGCCCUUGUUUCCAUCCUGGUUCUUGCUCCCCAAGCUGAUAAUCCAGCAAGAAACUGUUUACUCGACAGGCAGAUUUCCCCCCUCCAUUCCAUCUUAUUGAUCACCAGCACCUGGCAGAGGAAAACCCUGCAGAAUUCCCAGUAAGAGCUGAGACCUUUGCUUGGAGGAAGUGUUGCUGAGCUGUGGGUAAACACCAUCCUGGCAGCUUCCAGCGUGAUGAGUUUGUAAUCAGCAUGUGGGUCUCAGCAUUUCCAUCUCUCAGACAUAAGUAUCCCUGCAUUUUGUGUUUGGGAGCUUUGCAAAAUGAAGGUCAGCUCCGGAGCUGCUGGGUUUGGAGUCACGUUUGUCCAGUCCCCAGGGAAAGGCCUGAGAGGAGAGAAAGUCCCCCCAGCAGAAGAACUUCCACAAAUGGGAACCUUUAAACUCAGAACUGCUCAAGAUGAAGGAAGUCACAUUCCCGACCCUUCCCAUUUGCCCUCUUUGCUCCCCUUUGAUCAGGGAUUUUUGACCAAGCCAAGCCUUGCAACUCUCUCUGGGGAAAAUCCUACAGGGAAGUAGUACUAGUCCUCUACUCCCUUGUCCUAUCGCCAAGCUGAAAAGAAAAAAGGAAAAACUACAGCUUUUUUUUCACCCUCCAAUGCCCUAAAAAUUAUUUCCAAACAAAAUAAAUGUGGCAGGUUGUGGGAAAUGGAUUUGUAAAGAAUUCUCAAAAGCUGUCAGAAAACUCAGUCUUAUAUAUCUGUAUACAAAUACUAAAAUUAAGUGUGCUAACUUAAGAAAGCCAUAGAAUAGAGAUGACAUUGUUAAGAGAGAAAUUAAACUAAAACCAAGUUUCAACAACUUUCAAAAUGUAGCCUUACAAAAAUACUAGAUAUUUUAGAAAACUAGAACUGUGAAAGAUGCGUUGUAGCAACACCACCUAGAGAAAAAACAGAGGUGAUUAGUGCUAGAAGUAAUGGCAACAUUGUGUGGCAAAAACAAAUAAGCUGAAAAACAUUUAUAAAGUAUUGUAACCAAGAAAUAGGUUAGCUUCUGACACGAAUAGCAUUUUUACAUCUCAUCAUCAAGACUGAUAAUGGAAUAAAAUCGUUUAAAAUGCC
Molecule: non-coding RNA, 1934 nt
Organism: Taeniopygia guttata (zebra finch)
Lineage: Eukaryota; Metazoa; Chordata; Aves; Passeriformes; Estrildidae
Source: RefSeq, a predicted model, not a curated record